GAGGGACGGGGACCUGCGGCUCGCGGAGGCUGUGGGGGACGGGGGUGGAGGCGAAGAUGUGGUCGGAGGCGGAGGGCCCCUCGUUGGAGAGGCCCUGCAUCCGCUUGACGUAGAGGCGGUACUUCUGGAGGUGGCUGGCGACGUUCUCGCGGGUGAGCCCCUCCACGUUCAUCAGCUGCAUGAUGGUCUUGGGCACGGCGCUCUUGAUCCCCAGGUGCGCCACCACCUCCACGAACCGCUUGUGCAGCUGCGGCGUCCACACCAGCCGCGCCCGCUUCGUCGCCGCCGCCGCAGACUUCUCCCCCGCCGACUCGGCCGAGCUGUUGUUGUUGUUGUCGUCCCCGGCCGCCGACGACUUGCCGGGGAAGGACGGGAAGGAGCCGCCGGUGGCGGGGGCGUUGCCGGAGGAGGGGGACGAGGAGGCGGAGCGGAGGCGGGACACGGUGGCGGAGGACGCGCGGUGCACGUCCAGAAGCGUGCGCCCCGGCUCCGGCGGGAUGCGGAACGCGGCGGCGAGCCCCGGCGGCACCAGCGGCUGAGACAGCGGGGUCAGCUCGUCGCACCCCGGCAGCCCCGUCUCCCACUCGGUCACCCUCCCUUCAUACCCACCAUAUCCUCCGAAGUCAAAACCGUAGCCGCCGGCCUCCUCCCCCAUGGCUUGGCUUGGAUUGGAUCCCCAACCCAACCAGCGAACCGAGAGAAAUUCAACAACCUAGCAACACCAAUCGAGCCCCCGACGAAUCAACUUACCCUCGCCAUCUCCGUAUCAUCUAGGAGUAGUUAACACCUGCCGGGGUAGCAAACUCCGGCGGCCGGCGGCCGGCGGCGGUGGGUGGAGGAGGAGAGCAGGAAAGAAGAUAUUUUUGUGGGGUGGGGCGGGAUGAGGUGGGCGGGGGCGGGGGAUAAUUUAAUGGCCGGAAAAGGGAAUAAAGCGCAGAUCGGGAUGGCCACGUGGACCGGUCACCGCGAUAUUUUCGAUACGCUUUUCCCCAUCGCGACCGUCCGUUCCCGAUGGCACGAUCGUAAUUCCCCGCGCGCUUUCCGGCCGACGUGGACCGGCGAUGUUGCCUCGAGAUCCGUGCGCGGCCCGAUCGGACGGCCACGUGUCACACGCUUUUCCUUAUGCGAUUUCGUUGGGGUCGCUCUCGGGCGGCCCAUUUUUAGUUUUGGACGGGAGACUUUUGUUUCCCACAGCGAGCAAUAAAAUGUUCUCACCAAAAAAAAAAAGCAAUUACAAUUGCUUUCCCGUUUGCUGAUUGGAAUAGAAAAUUCUUGCACAUGGUGGAUAGAUUCUGGCUUCUGAGCAAUAAUGCCCAAUAUUCUUUGGUCUUUUUUUGUAAAGUUCCGGCUACGGAUAUUUUUGGUACGAUAUUUUCUCUCGGAUAUUUGGUUUGCGCAUUAACGAUAAUCUUUUUGUUUUCGAUAUACAUAUACUCUGUAGGAGGUGUUUUGAGAUGAAUAUUGGAAAUAUCGUGGAGCUACAACUCGUCUUAUAUGGAGCUAGAGAAAUGAUUUACUAGAGGAGGAGUGUGAGGAACUAAUGUGUUUCACUUUGUUUUCAUGUCGGUUUUUCCUUGUCUUAGCGAAUGCGUCUUGGGAACUUUCUAACCUUAUUCAAAACAGUUAUAGACCAGCCCGAUGGUGGUUAGAUAUUUCUUUGAGAUUUAUGUACAACUGGAUCACACAGACAGCAAGGGCCUACACUUCUACAUAUGAUUCUAUUCUGGUAUGUUGUCCCUCUCGGCUCAUUUUGGAGCACAGCCUUUUGCUUGUUCAAACUCGCUAGCAAAAGAAAAUUGAUUGACAGAGUUUUUAGUGACUCAGUCGUAUCAAGGCCAUACAACUGCAAACAAUGUCUCUUGAAAAAAGACACUAGAUGUGCUAGGCAGAAUGAUCCUUUCAUAUGAAAUAUUUUAGUUGUCUUAUUUUCAAAUAUUCACUUGUAACACGAAAUGAGUAAAAGCUGAAAGACUCACCUUGUACAGGACCAAAACACAAAUUCCAAAUUACCUGCUCAUGAAACGACUCCGUUGUAGUGAAAGGUUCUUCCACUUUAUUUUUGUGAUCCUUCGGAUCAAAAUCCAUCUAUACGCUGCUAAAAAAAAUCCAUCUAUACGAAUGAUACAUAGAACUUAUUUUGUGCGGACUAGCUAAAGGCUUUUUGUGAGCUUCCAUAGUUAUUUCGUGUGCGACCAUGGACAUAGAAAAUGUUUGACAUUAUGGCUUGAUUCAUCGGACCUUCUGCUUUGAGAUAUUUUUUCCUUGGAAUAAUUUUUUGUUUACUAAUGAUAGUGUUUUCCUUACAUCAUCCAACUUAUUUUCACCACCACCUCCACCCGUUGCCCUUUUACUUUUGCCACUGUCCACACUCAUGGCAUGAUCGUAAUACACACACGCUUUCUGGGUGGUCUUGAUUGUGAUGUGAACCCCGAAUAUUUCUUUGAGAUUCGUGCUUGGCCUAAUCAUGCGUCCAUGUGUCGCAUACUUUUUCUUAUGCGGUUCGGUGGUGUUCUCGUGUCAACCCAUGGCCAACCCAUUUUUAUUUUGGCGGGGAGACUUUUGCUUGCCCGGUCAACCUCAAACAACACCUAUAUAUAUAUAUAUAUCCUACAACUAGCAAAUUAAAGUGCUUUGUCUUUUGCUUAUUGGAACCAAAAUUCUUGCAGCUGGUGGAUAGAUUCGAGCAUGUGUGCAUUAAUGUCCAAUAUUCUUUAGGCCUUUUUCGAAUAAAGUUGCCAGGAUAUUUAUCCUCGGAUAUUUUCUCUCCGAGUUUUAAUUUGUCAGUGAAGGAUAAAAUUUUUUGGUUAUCAAUAUAGAUUUAUUAACAUAUUCUGUAAGAAAUGUUUUGAAGUGAAUAUUGGAAAUGUGGUGGAACAAAAACUCCUUUUAUAGAGCUAAAUAAAUAAUUCAUCUUUUCACUUCGAGAUAUUUUUUCCAUGGGAUAACUUUUUGUUUAUGAAUGAUAGUGUCUUGUUUACAUGAUACCCCAUCCCCAAACACACGCGCGGGCGGGUACACACACAUAAGGCAAUGUAUGAUAUUUUAGUUUUUCUGGGUUAACAUUGGAUACUUUUUUUUAAUCUGAAUGCAUAGUCGAAAAACAUAUUAUUAAAGUAUAACUGCCAGGGACACUGUUUGGGCAUAUUGUUUCCUUAGUAGUUUUGGUGAUUGAUGACAAUGCAUUUUGCAGACUAACCAUGUGCAUUGAGUAUUUGAGAGAUUAUACUAGAUGGCACAAAACGGUUUAUUUCCCCGUGGUGAUUAAGACUGACGACGGUUAUUUUCCGACGAUCUCUUUUUGAUGGAUUUUAGUCAUUGGAAAACCAUACUAUUAAGAGGGGGUCCAGAGUGAAAAGUUUAGGGUGAAAUAAAAAACAUACACAUUGCAUUUGCACCCUCUUUCCCUUCCCGACAAAUGGAGUUCCUUCCUGUUCUCUGCUUGGGCUUUCUUGAGGCGCCCAAGCAGUAGUACCACCCUUGGGAGCGGUAGUGCUACCGCGGCCCAGGACCGCCGUACCAUCGCUUGGGUUUGUGCUUCCGUUUCCCUCCCUUUUUCAUGGUGGUAGGGCGGUGAUUAAUUGCGGAUGUACCGCCCUUAGAGGUAGUACCGCUCGCGUAGGGCGGUAAUGUCGCUUAGUGCAGUAUUGCAGCUCCUGCUACCGCUGGCACUACCGCAACACUUAUUAUGGCCUCGAGAAACUCGUGUUCGCAUUAACGGGAGUACAGCGGAUGUGGAUCGCGGUAUUUCUGCCCUGCCCAACUCUACUACCGUGGCGUGUCUGCGUUGUGCUAUACACAACGGUAGUAUCGCUCAUAGGACCGGUAGUACUGCUCUGGCAGAACUACCGUGUUGCGGCUCGCCCACUUGCACACGUCGGCUGGUACCAUGGCUCCAAGGGGUAAUACCGCUCUCUCGAGUGGUAGUACCGCUUAUGUGCGUCUCCGGGCAGAAAACAGUUGGAUUUGUCCCCCCACUAUAUAAAGAGGUCCUUUUCCCCAGGAAGAGCUACCUCUUUUCCCCCAAGCUCCAUUGUUGUUACAAAGCUCAUUUUCACCCGACCUCUCUCCCUAGCCAUCAAAUCUUGUUGAUUUCUUAGGUUUGCUUGAGAGGGCACUGAUCUACACUUGCACCAAGAUAAAUUUGGUUCCCCCAAUAAUCCUUGAGUGUUUCGGCACCCUAGAAAUAAGAUAUCACAAUUAUGGUGAAGCUUCGUGGUGGUGUUCAAAGCCUCCAAUGAAGUUGUGGAGAGAGCCCCAACCUUGUUUGUAAAAGGUUUGGUUGCCGCCUUAAUUGGAAACCACUAGUGGAAUCAUGGCAUCUUGUAUUGUGCGAGGACGUGAGGAGAAUACGGUGGUGUCGGGGAAAGUUGCAUGGGAAACAAAAAAAUUCCUACGCACAUAAAAGAUCUAUCCAUGAUGAUGACUAUCUACGAGAGGGGAGAUCGGAUCCACAUACCCAUGUAGAUCACUAAGCGGGAAGCUUUAAGAAACGCAGCUGAUGUAGUUGAGCGUAUUUGCUAUCCAAAUCACAAGCUGUCCCAUGAUCCAAUCAUGAUCUAGUGCCGAACUGAUGGCACCUCUGCGUUCAACACAUGUACAGCUCAAUGACGAUCUCUGCCUCCUUGAUCGAGCAAGUGAGGGCGGAGAGGUAGAUGAUUUCUCCGGCAGCACAACGACGUGGUGGCGGUGGUGGUGAACUAAUCCGACAUGGCUUCGCCGAGCUCUAUCAAACUAAUCUAGAGGAGGGAGAUGAUCUAGAGAGGAGAGGGCAACACAUGGCUUUUUCACGUGGUGGCUGCCCUCAAACCCCCCACUAUAUAUAGGAGGAAGGGGUAGGUUGGGCUAGCAUUAGCCCCUCCUCCAAGGAGGAGGGUUCGACCAAAGUGGGGAAGGAGUCCACCUCCCAUAAGGGAGGUGGACACCCUAGGGAGGACUCUUCCUCCACCUCCUCCAUCAACUCUUGGCGCAUGGGCCUCUUAGGGUCGGCUGGCUGAUACGUCUCAAACGUAUCUAUAAUUUUUGAUGGUUUCACGCUGUUAUCUUGUCUUCUUUGGAUGUUUUAUGUACCUUUUAUAUCUUUUUUGGGACUAACUUAUUAAUUCAGUGUCAAGUGUCAGUUCCUGUUUUUUCUGUGUUUUUGACUCUUUUCAGAUUUGAUUUUGGAACGGAGUCCAAACGGAAUAAAAACCCCGAAAUGAUUUUUCCCCAACGGAAGAAGACCAGGGGAGCCUCGAAAAUACUUUUCCGCCGCCGCAAGCUUCCGUUUCCACGAGAUCUCAUCUGGAGACCCUUCCCGGCGCCCUGCCGGAGGGGACUUUGGAGUUGGAGGGCUUCUUCAUCAUCAUCAUCGCCCCUCCAAUGACUCGUGAGUNGAUCUAUCCGAUGUAAUCUUCUUUGGCGGUGUGUUUGUCGAGAUCCGAUGAAUUAUGGAUUUGUGAUGAAAUUAUCUAAGAUAUAUAUUUGAGUCUUUGAUGAUUUAUUAUAUGCAUGAUUUGAUAUCCUUGUAAGUCUCUCCGAGUCUUGGGUUUUGUUUGGCCAACUAGAUCUAUGAUUCUUGCAGUGGGAGAAGUGCUUGGUUUUGGGUUCUACCAUGUGGUGACCUUUCCCAGUGACAGUAGGGGCAGCAAGGCACACAUCAAGUAGUUGCCAUCAAGGGUAAAAAGAUGGGGUUUUUAUCAUUGGUUUGAGAUUAUCCCUCUAGAUCAUGUCAUCUUGCUUAAGGCGUUACUCUGUUCUUAUGGACUUAAUACACUAGAUGCAUGCUGGAUAGCGGUCGACGUGUGGAGUAAUAGUAGUAGAUGUAGAAAGUAUCGGUCUACUUGUUUUGGACGUGAUGCCUAUAGAUAUAAUCAUUGCAUAGAUAUCGUCACGACUUUGCGCGGUUCUAUCAAUUGCUCGACGGUAAUUUGUUCACCCACCGUCUACUUGCUUUCAUGAGAGAAGCCACUAGUAAACACUACGGCCCCCAGGUCUAUUCACAUCCAUCGUUUACACCUCCGCUUUUACUUUGCUUUGUUACUUUGUUGCUUUCAGUUCUCACUUGGCAAGCAAUCUAUAAGGGACUGACAACCCCUUCAUAGCGUUGGGAGCAAGAUUUUGUGUUUGUGUAGGAUCUUGAGAUACUCCUCCACUGGAUUGAUACCUUGGUUCUCAAACUGAGGGAAAUACUUACCACCGCUACGCUACAUCACCCUUUCGCUUCGAGGGAACACCAACGCAAGGCUCCAAGGCCACGGGGGAAAUCCUUUGCAUACUUGCCUAGGAAGUCCCUUAAGGCGUAGCCGCAGCAGAAGGAUCAAGCCAAGUAUUCUCCCGUCGACGUGCCUAUUUCUGGCAUCAUUGGAAGGUCUUUUGUUGCAGUAGCACUGGCAAGCCCACCACUGGAUGGUGUGCCACCUCCUAGGCCCAUGGCCAUGUGCCCCCCGGGGUGGGUGGGCCCCUCCCGGUGGACCCUUGGAACCCUUUCAACACUCCCCAUACAAUACCAGAAAACCCCGAAACUAUCCCGGAACCCGAAUACCAAUUUCCUAUAUAUAAACCUUUACCUCCGGACCAUUCCAGAGCUCUUUGUGACGUUUGGGAUCUCAUCCGGUACUCCGAACAACCUUUGGUUACCAACACACACAACUCAAUAAUACUGAAACGUCACCAAACCUUAAGUGUGCAGACCCUUUGGGUUCGAGAACUAUGCAGACAUGACCGAGAGACUCUCCGGUCAAUAACCAAUAGCGGGACCUGGAUGUCCAUGUUGGCUCCUACAUAUUCUAUGACGAUCUUUAUCUGUCGAAUCUCUAUGUCAAGGAUUAAAUUAAUCUCGUAUAAUGUUUCCUUUGUACAUCAGUAUGUUACUUGCCCGAGAUUUGAUCGUCGAUAUCUCUAUACCUAGUUCAAUCUCGUUACCGGCAAGUCUCUUUACUCGUUCUGUAAUACAAGAUUCCGUGACUAAAUCCUUAGUCACAUUGCUUGCAAGCUUCUUGUGAUGUUGUAUUACUGAGUGGGCCCUAGAGAUACCUCUCCGUCAUACGGAGUGAGAAAUUCCAGUCUCGAUUCACGCCAACCCAGCAUACACCUUUGAAGAUACCUGUAGAGCACCUUUAUGGUCACCCAGUUACAUUGUGAUGUUUGAUACACACAAGGCAUUCCCCCGGUGCCCGGAAGUUGCAUGAUGUCAUGGUCAAAAUAGAUACUUGACAUGCAUGUAGAAAAUUGUAGUAAUAAACUGACAUGAUCACAUGCUACGUUCAUAGUUUGGUUCUUGUCCAUCACAUCAUUCUCAUAAUGAUGUGAACCCGUUAUCAAAUGACAAGUCAUGUCUAUGGCCAGGAAACCUUGACCAUCUUUGAUAAACGAGCUAGUCCUUAAGAGGCUUACUAGGGACAGUGUGUUGUCUAUGUAUCCACACAUGUAUUUGAAUUUCCAAUCAAUACAAUUCUAGCAUGGAUGAUAAACGAUUAUCAUGAACAAGGAAAUAUAAUAAUAAUCACUUUAUUAUUGCCUCUAGGGCAUAUUUCCAACAGUCUCCCACUUGCACUAGAGUCAAUAAUCUAGCUCACAUCACUAUGUGAUUUACAUUGUAAUGAAUCUUACACCCAUACAGUUCUGGUGUCGAUCAUGUUUCGCUCGUGGAAGAGGCUUAGUCAAUGAGUCUGCAACGUUCAGAUUCGUGCGCACUUUGCAAAUUCUUAUGCUCUCCUCCUUGAUGUAAUCACGGAUGGAAUUGAAGCGUAUCUUCAUGUGUCUGGGCCUCUUGUGAAACCUUGGUUCCUUGGCUAGAGCAAUUGCACCAGUGUUGUCACAGAACAGAGUCAUUGGAUGAAGUGCACUGGGCACAACUCCAAGAUCUGUCAUCAACUCCUUCAUCCAGACACCUUCUUUAGCCACCUCCGAGGCAUCUAUGUACUCCUCUUCACAUGUGAUUUGCUUGGAACCACAUGAGCUUACCACAGCCCCAUUGAGAAUAAACACGUAUCUGGUUUGAGACUUAGAGUCAUCCGCAUCAGUGUCAAAGCAUGCAUCGACGUAACCCUUUACACGAGCUCUUGAUCACCUCCAUGCACGAGAAACAGUUCUUUAGUACUUUUCAGGUACUUCAGAAUAUUCUUGACCGUUGUCGAGUGUUCCAUUCCUGGAUGACUUCGAAACCUUCGGCCAUACUUAUGGCAAGGCUGACAUCGGGCAUUGUGCACAUCAUUGCAUACAGGAUAGAGCCUAUGGUUUAAGCAUAGGGGAUGACACUCAUCUUUUCUCUAUCUUCUGCAGUCACUCGGCAUUGAGUCUUACUCAACUUCACACCUUGCAAUACAGGCAAGAACCCUUUCUUGGACUGAUCCAUUUUGAACUUCUUCAAAACUUUGUCAAGGUAUGUGCUCUGUGAAAGUCCUAUUAGAAAUGACUCUGUUCUUGAUCUGUCAAGGUAUGUGAACUUCUUCAAAACUUUGUCAAGGUAUGUGAUCUUUAAGCGUCUUGAUCUGUUUCUAUAGAUCUUGAUGCCUAAUAUGUAAGCAGGUUCUCCUAGCUCCUUCAUUGAAAAACUCUUAUUCAAAUAAUCCUUUACACUUCCCAAAAAUUCUAUAUUGUUUCCAAUCAGCAAUAUGUCAUCCAAAUAUAAUAUUAGAAAUGCUAUAGAGCUCCCAUUCGCUUUCUUGUAAAUACAAGCUUCUCCAUAAACUUGUAUAAACCCAAACGCGUUGAUCACCUCAUCAAAGCGUUGAUUCCAACUCCAAGAUGCUUGCACCAGUCCAUAAAUGGAUCGAUGGAGCUUGCAUACUUUGUCAGCAUUCUCUGGAUCGACAAAACCUUUUGGUUGCAUCACAUACAACUCUUCCUUAAGGAAACCGUUAAGGAAUGUUGUUUUGACAUCAAUCUGCCAAAUUUCAUAAUCGAAAAUGCAGCUAUUGCUAACAUGAUUCUGACGGACUUAAGCAUUGCUACGAGUGAGAAAGUCUCAUCGUAGUCAACUCCUUGAACUUGUGAAAAACCCUUUGCCACAAGUCGAGCUUUAUAGAUAGUGGUAUCAACGUCGGCGUCCGUCUUCUUCUUAAAGAUCCAUUUCUUCUGAAUGACCUUUCUCCCUUCAGGUAAUACUUCCAAAGUCCAUACUUUGUUUUCAUACAUGGAUCCUAUCUCGAAUUUCAUGGUCUCUAAACAUUUGUUUGAAUCCGGGCCCACCAUCACUUCUCCAAAGCUCGUUGGUUCAUUGUUAUCCAACAACAUGACUGCUAAGACAUGGUUACCGUACCACUGAGGAGCAGUACGUGCCCUUGUCGACCUACGAGGUAUGAUAGCUACUUGAUCCGAAGCUUCAUGAUCAUCAACAUUAGCUUCCUCUUCAACUGGCGCGGGCUCCACAGAAACACCUUUUUGUGCUGUGUUACUCUCUGAUUGAAGCAAAUGUUCAAUAACCUCAUCAAGUCCUAUCUUCCUCCCACUCAAUAGUUUUGAGAGAAACUCUUUCUCAAGAAAUAUUUCACUUUUAGCGAAAAAUACUUUGCCUUUGGAUCUGAGAUAGAAGGUAUACCCAACUGUCUCUUUUGGGUAUCCUAUGAAGACGCAUUUCUCCGCUUUGAGUUCCAGCUUUUCAAGUUGAAGCUUUUUGACAUAAGCAUCACAUCCCCAAACUUUAAGAAACGAAAACUUUGGUUUCUUGCCAAACCACAGUUCAUAUGGCGCCAUCUCAACGGAUUUUGAUGGUGCCCUAUUUAAAGUGAAUGCAGCUGUCUCUAAUGCAUAACCCCAAAACGAUAGUGGCAAAUCGGCAGGAGACAUCAUAGAAGGCACCAUAUCUAAUAUGUUUCGAUUACGACGUUUGGAUACACCAUUACGCUAUGGUGUUCCGGGCGGUGUCAACUGUGAAACAAUUCCACAUUCUCUUAGGUGAGUGCCAUACUCAUAACUCAGAUAUUCUCCUCCUCGAUCAGAUCGUAGGAACUUGAUCUUCUUAUUACGAUGAUUCUCCACUUCACUCUCAAAUUGCUUGAACUUUUCAAACAUUUCACCCUUGUGUUUCAUUAAGUAAAUAUAACCAUAUCUACUUAAGUCAUUGGUGAAGGUGAGAAAAUAACGAUAUCCACCGCGCACCUCAAUGCUCAUCGUACCGCACCUUAGUAUGUAUGAUUUCCAAUAAUUCACUUGCUCGCUCCAUUGUUUCAGAGAAUGGAGUUUUAGUCAUCUUGUCAAUGAGGCAUGGUUCACAUGUGUCAAGUGAUUCAAAAUCAAGUGACUCCAAAAGUCCCUCAGCAUCGACUUUCUUCAUGCGUUUUACACCAAUAUGACCUAAGCGGCAGUGCCACAAGAAAGUGGUACUAUCAGUAUCAACUCUAGAUCUUUUGGCAUCAAUGUUAUGAACAUGUGUGUCAUCACUAUCGAGAUUCAAUAAGAACAAACCAUUCACAUUGGGUGCAUGUCCAUAAAAGAUAUUAAUCAUAUAAAUAGAACAACCAUUAUUAUCUGAUUUAAAUGAGUAACCAUCUCGCAAUAAACAAGAUUCAAAUAUAAUAUUCAUGCUCAACGCAGGCACUAAAUAACAAUUAUUCAGGUUCAUGACUAAUCCCGGUGGUAAUUGAAGUAAGAGCGUGCCGACGACAAUCGCAUCAACCUUGAAACCAUUUCCCACGCGCAUCGUCACUUCGUUCUUCGCCAACCUCCUUCUAUUCCAUAGUUCCCGCUUUGAGUUGCAAAUGUGAGCAACCGAACCGGUAUCAAAUACCCAAGCACUACAACGUGAGUUCGUGAGGUACACAUCAAUAACAUGUAUAUCAUAUAUACCAUGUUUGGUGUUGGCCGCCUUCUUGUCGGCAAGAUACUUGGGACAGUUCCACUUCCAGUGACCAGUCCCCUUGCAAUGAAAGCACUCAGUUUCUGGCUUGGGUCCAGCCUUGGGUUUCUUCAUGGGAGGGGCAACUGCUUUGCCACUCUUCUUGGAGUUACCCUUCUUGCCCUUGCCAUUUUUCUUGAAACUAGUGGUUUUAUUGACCAUCAACACUUGAUGUUCUUUCUGAAUUUCUGACUCGGCGACUUUCAGCAUCGCAAACAGCUCGACGAAUGAUUUAUUCAUCCCUUGCAUGUUAUGUUUCAACACAAAGCCUUUAUAGCUAGGUGGCAGUGAUUGAAGAACUCUAUCAAUGAUUUCCUCUAGCGGGAGAAUAAUUCCCAAUUCAGCUAGACGGUUGGAAUACCCACACAUUCUGAGUAUGUGUUCACUGACAAACCCGGUCUCCUCAAUCUUGCAAGCAUGGAACUUAUCGGAGGUCUCAUACCUCUCGAUCUGGGCAAUCUUUACAAAAAAUGAACUUCAACUCCUGGAACAUCUCAUAUGCUCCAUGACGUUCAAAACGUCUUUGAAGUCCCGGUUCUAAGCCAUACAAAAUUGCACAUUGAACUACUGAGUAUUCAUCCAGACGCGAUUGCCAGACAUUCAUAAUGUCUUCAGUUGCCGGGAGGGGGGCAUCACCUCAGCUUGGCUUUCUCUAGGAACGCAUUAAAAUUCAGGGGUGCUACUGCACAAGGCAUUGAUCUACAACAUAAUUUGCAAAGAUUACUUAGACUAUUAUUCAAGACAAUGAGUUUAGUUAAUCAUAUCACUAAAUAAACUCCCACUCAAAUUGACAUCCCUCUAGUCAUUCGAGUGAUACAUGAUCCAAAUUCACCAACCCAAGUCCAAUCAUCACUUGAGAUGAGCUGGUUUCAAUGGUGAACAUCUUCAUGUUGAUCAUAUCUACUAUAGACUCAUGUUCGACCUUUCGGUAUCUUGUGUUCCAAGGUCAUGUCUGUACAUGCUAGGCUCGUCAAGUUUAACCCGAGUGUUCUGCAUGUGCAAAACUGUCUUGCACCCGUUGUAUGUGAGCGUAGAUUAUAUCACACCCGAUCAUCACGUGGUGUCUCGAAACGACGAACUUUCACAACGGUGUACACUCUAGGAGAACACAAUUUUAUCUUGAAAUUUUAGUGAGGGAUCACCUCAUAAUGCUACCGCCAUCCUAAGAAAAACAAGGUGCAUAAAAAGGAUUAACGUCACAUGCAUAUCAUAAGUGACAUGAUAUGGCCAUGAUCUUGUGCUUUUGAUCUCCAUCUCCAAAGCAUCGGCAUGAUCUCCAUCGUCAUCGGCACAAAACCAUGAUCUCUAUCAUCAUGAUCUCCAUCAUUGUGUUGCCAUCAAGGUUGUCGCCCCAACCAUGCUUGUACCACUAUUGCUACCAUUUAGCGAUAAAGUAAAGCAUUACAUAGCGCUUAAUAAUUGACACGCAUGUCAUACAAUAAUUUAAAGACAACCCUAUGGCUCCUGUCGGUUGCCAUAUCAUCGACAUGCAAGUCGAUAUUAACUAUUAAAACAUGAUCAUCUCAUACAUCAAAUACAUAUCAUCAUGUCUUUGGCCAUAUCAUAUCACAACAUACCUUGCAAAAACAAGUUAGACAUCCUCUAAUUUGUUGUUCCAUAUUUUACGUGGCUGCUAUGGGUAUCUAGUAAGAACAUUUCUUACAUAUGCAAAACCUCAAUGGUGAUAUGCAAGUUUCUAUUUAAACUUCUACAAAUACCGCCUCUAUCGAAUCAGAUUCAGAUAAAGUGGGAGAGACAGACAGCCGCCAACCAUCUUUAUGCAAUAAGUUGCAUGUCAGUCGAUGGAACCGGUCUCUCGUACGCUUCAUCCCACAAUAUCGCUGAAUCAAGAAAAUACUAAGGAGGGAAGCAAUAUGAAUAUCAACACCACAAACUCCUUUGUGUUCUACUCGAGAUGUCAUCUACGCAUAGACCUAGGUCAUGAUGCCACUGUUGGGGAAUGUUGCAUGGGAAACAAAAAAAUUUCUACGCACAUACAAGGUCUAUCCAAGGUGAUGACAAUCUACGAGAAGGGAGAUCGGAUCCACAUACCCUUGUAAAUCACUAAGUGGGAAGCAUUAAGAAACGUGGUUGAUGUAGUCGAAUGUCUUGGCGAUCCAAAUCGCAAGCCGUCCAGCGAUCCAAUCACGAUCUAGUGCCGAACGGACGACACCUCCGCGUUCAACACACGUACAACUCAAUGAUGAUCUCUGCCUCCUUGAUCCAGCAAGCGAGGGCAGAGUGGUAGAUGAGUUCUCUGACAGCGCAACGACGUGAUGGCGGUGGUGGUGAACUAAUCCGAUAGGGCUUCGCCGAGCUCUAUCGAACUAAGAGGAGGGAUAUGAUCUAGAGAGGAGGAAGGUGUGGUGUCUGCCCUCAAAACCUCUACUAUAUAUAGGAGGAAGGUGUAGGUUGGGCUGGCAUUGGCCCCUCCUCCAAGGAGGAGGGUUCAACCGAAGUGGGGAAGGAGUCUGCUACGGCAACAAAAGACCUUCCCUGGCAACGGCGCCAGGAAUCCUUCUGCUACGGGCUACGCCUAUAGGGACUUCCUUGGCAAAUAUGCAAAGGAUUUCCCCGCGGCCUUGGAGCCUUGCGUUGGUGUUCCCUUAAAGAGGAAAGGGUGAUGUAGCACAGCGGCGGUAAGUAUUUCCCUCAGUUUGAGAACCAAGGUAUCGAUCUAGUGGGAGGAUCGCGUCAAGUCACAAGUACCUGCACAAACACAAAGAGCUUGCACCCAACGCUAUGAAGGGGUUGUCAAUCCCUUAUAGAUUGUUUGCAAAGUGAGAACUGAAAGCAAAAAGUAAACAAAGCAAAGUAGAAAUGAAAGUGGAGACGAUAGUUGUGAAUAGACCCGGGGCCGUAGUGUUCACUAGUGGCUUCUCUCAUGAAAGCAAGUAGACGGUGGGUGAACGAAUUACUGUCGAGAAAUUGAUAGAACCGCGCAAAGUCAUGACGUUAUCUAUGGCAAUGAUCAUAUCUAUAAGCAUCACGUCCAAAACAAGUAGACCGAUACNCAAAGACUCAAAUAUAUAUCAUAAAUAAUCUGAUCAAAAAUCCACAAUUCAUCGGAUCUCGACAAACACACCGCCAAAGAAGAUUACAUCGGAUAGAUCUCCAUGAAGAUCAUGGAGAACUUUGUAUUGAAUAUCCAAGAGAGAGAAGAAGCCAUCUAGUUACUAACUACGGACCCGUUUGGACUCCAUUCCAAAAUCAGAUCUGAAAAGAGUCAAAAACACGGAAAAAACAGGAACUGGCACUUGGCACUGAAUUAAUAAGUUAGUCCCAAAAAAGAUAUAAAAGGUACAUAAAACAACCAAAGAAGACAAGAUAACAGCGUGAAACCAUAAAAAAUUAUAGAUAUGUUUGAUACGUAUCAAGGAUCCCCAAGCUUAACUCUGCUCGUCCUCGAGUAGGGAAGUGACAAAGAAUGAAUUUUUUAUGCUUUCAUGCUACCUAGCAUAGGUAUCCUUUGUAAUUCCUCUUAUGUGACGUGAAUUUUCUGAUCCAUUAGAUUGAAAACAAUAGUUUGCUAUUGACGUGGAAACAAUAAUAAUUCAAGCAAACUAGCAAGGUAAUCAUGAACUUCCAAAAUAACAAGGCCAAAAGAAAGUUAUCCCUACAAAAGCAUAUAGUCUGGCUAUGCUCUAUCAUCAUUGCACAACGAAUUAUAUCAUGCACAACCCCGGUAUUGGCCAAGUAAUUGUUUCACACCUUUACUUUCUCAAACCUUUUCAACUCUCACGCAAUACAUGAGCGUGAGCCAUGGUUUUACCCCUAUAGAUGGUGUGGAAUGUGGUGGAGGUUGGAAGACAAAAAGGAGAAGAUAGUCACAUUAACUAGGCAUAUCAAUGAGCUGUUGAGAUGCUCAUCAAUAGAUAUCAAUGUGAAUGAGUAGGGAUUGCCAUACAAAUGAUGCACUAGAGCUACGAGUAUGUGAAAGCUCUUAAAGAAAACUAGUGGGUGUGCAUCCAACUUGCUUGCUCACGAAGACCUAAGGCAAUUUUGAGGAAGCCUAUCAUUGGAAUAUACAAGCCAAGUUAUAUAAUGAAAAUUUCCCACUAGCAAUAUGGUGGUGACAAAACGAGAGACUCUCAAUCAUGAAGAUCACGGUGCUUAAUAUGCACAAGUGUGGAAAAAGUGGUAGCAUUGUCCCUUCUCUCUUUUUCUCUCAUUUUUUUUUAUUUUUUUGGUGGGCUCUUUGGCCUAUUUUUUUUAUUUUAGUGGGCUUCUUUGGCCUCUUUUAUUUCCUCACAUGGGACAGUGCUCCAUUAAUGAUGAUCAUCACACUUUCAACUCAAAACUUAGAGCAACUAUGACUAUAUGGAAUGCCUUCGGUAGUGUACCGUGGCAAUGAUCUAGCAUGGCAUAGACAUCAAUGGAAACAUCAUGCUAGCUAUCUUACGAUCAUGCAAUGACAAUGUAGACGUGGUGGCACAUGUCAUGGUGGUAAUUGCAUGGCAAUAUAUCUCGGAAUGACUUUGAAAAAGCCAUAAUAGGUAGGUAUGGUGGCUGUUUUGAGGGAGGCUAAUGGUGGGUUUUGUGCACCGGCGAAAGUUGCACGACACUAAGAAGAUAGUGAUGGUGGAAGGUGAAAGUGCAUCUAAACCAUGGACUCAACAUUAGUCAUGAAGAACUCAUAUACAUGUUGCAAAAGUUUUAUUAGUAAUCGAAACAAAGCAUUCAACGCAUACUCCUAGGGGAAGGGUUGGUAGGUAUAAACCAUCGCGCGAUCCCGACCACCACGCAAAGGAUGAAAAUCAAUAUACUAAUCAUGCUCAGAUUUCAUCACAUAGCGGUUCACCAUACGUGCAUGCUACGGGAAUCACUAACUUCAACACAAGUAUUUCUAGAUCCACAACACCUCACUAGCAUGACUUCAAUAUUACCAUAACCACAACUCAAAACUAAUUGAGAUGAAUCAAACUUCUCUAACUAUUCAAUGCACAUGAAGGUGGAAGUUUUCAUAUCCCUUUGGAUAACUACCCCUUUUGAGACUACUUUCAAAGCAUAGAUCAACUACCAAGCCAUGCACCGCUGUGCUCUAAAAGAUAUAAGUGAAACACAUAGAGCAAAAGUAUCUAGCUCAAAAGAUAUAAGUGAAGCACAUGUGAGCUGAAUUGUCUACCAAAAGAUAUAAGUGAAGCUCGACAAAAUCACGGUGUGUGCAUGUCUCUCUCUCUAGGUGUGCAGCAAGGAUGAUUGUGACACAACAAAAAUAAAAGACUCCUACGAUACAAGACGCUCCAAGCAAAAACACAUAACAUGUGGUGAAUAAAAAUAUAGCCCCAAGUAACGUUACCGAUGUAUUGAAGACGAGAGAGGGGAUGCCUUCCCGGGGCAUCCCCAUGCUUAGGCUUUUACGGCAUCCUUGUAUCUCUUAGGGUGCCUUGGGCAUCCCCAAGCUUGAGCUCUUGCCACUCUUUAUCUCUUUGUCCAUAAGAACUUCACCCAAAACUUGAAAACUUCACAACACAAAAGUUAAACAGAAACUCGUGAUAUCAUUAAUACAAGAAAGCAAACCACCACUUCCUUAGGUACUGAAGCAAACUUAAAUUCUACUUGUGCUGAUGUUGGGUUACUAUACUUUCAAUCUUCCAUGGCUAAUACCCCCCGAUACUAUCCAUAGUUUCAUCAAAAUAAGCAACCAACACAACAAAAACAGAAUCUGUUAACAGCAGACCAGUCUGUAGCAAUCUGUAUAUUUCGUAUAUCUCUCUUACUUCAAACAUUCUGACGAAUUACGACAGUCUGAAGAAUUUGCNAAGAACAUCAUCGAUCCUUCUCAUGGGUUUCUUGACAGUAGAAUCCGCAAGAUGCAAAUUAAGAGAACACUCUUCAAUCUCAUGAAAACCAAGAAUACGACAUAAAGACUUUGGAAUCGCGGAAACACUAGCACCCAAAUCACACAAAGCAUUGCAUUCAUAGUUUUUUAUUUUGAUUUUGAUAGUAGGUUCCCACUCAUGAUGAAGUUUUCUAGGUAUAGAGACUUAUAAUUCGAGUUUCUCUUCAAGAUAUUUCAUCAUAGCAUCUACGAUAUGUGCGGUAAAGGCUUUGCUUUGGCUAUAAGCAUGUGGAGAGUUUGGAAUGGAUUGCAUCAAACAUAUGCAUUCAAACAAGGAGAAACUAUCAUAAUUGAAUUCCUUGAAAUCCAAAGUGGGAGUUUCAUUACUACCCAAUAUUUUGAUUUCUUCUACUCCACUCUCCACACGUUUAUCAUCAAGAUAGGUGGACUCCGAAUCGUUGGGGUUUUUUUCAACCAAAGUGGAUUCAUAUCCAGCCCCUUCAUCAAUAGGUUUGACACGCGAAAACAAAGAUUCAAGAGGAGUCACACCAAGCACUUUAAGAUCUUCGUGAUUUGCAUCACUAGAACGCACCCUUUUAAACCAUUCAUGCCUAGCGUGAAUUUGGGCGGUUCUUUCUUUGCUCUCAUUCAUGGAGACACGCAUAGCUUUUAAAGUUUCAUCCAAGUUGACCUUGGGAGGAGCACAUCUAACUUUCAAAGCAUCAAUAUCACAAGACAUCCUAUCAACGCUCUUAGCCAAAUCGUCUAUUUUGAGUAGUUUUUCCUCUAUGGACGCAUUGAAAAUCUUUUGAGAGUUGAUGAACUCUUUGAUAUUACUCUCUAAAUCAGAGGGUAAUUUGUUGUGAUUUCCAUAAGUGUUGUUGUAGGAAUUGCCAUAAUUGUUAGAGGGGUUACUAGGAAAAGGCCUAGGAACAUAGUUUCCUCUAAAAGCAUUGUUGUUGCCAAAAUUGUUCCUACCAACAAAAUUAACGUCCAAACUAGCGUUGCUACUCUCAAUCAAGGAAGAUAGUGGCAUGUCAUUAGGAUCUAAAGGAGCAUUUCUACUAGCAACCAAAUUCAUCAACUCGUCCACCUUAGCACUAAGCGAGUUAAUUUCUUCUAUAGCGUGUACCUUUUUUCUAGCAGGUGACCUUUCACUGUGCCACUGAGAGUAGUUGGUCAUGAUAUUGUCUAGGAGUUUUGUAGCGUCUCCUAACGUGAUUUCCAUGAAUGUUCCACCUGAGGCGGAGUCCAAGAUAUUGCGAGAAGCAAAAUUCAACCCAGCGUAAAAGAUUUGUAUAAUCAUCCACAAACUCAAGCCAUGAGCGGGACAAUUUCUAAUCAUUAACUUCAUCCUCUCCCAAGAUUGUGCAACGUGUUCAUGACCAAGUUGCUUGAAAUUCAUGAUAUCGUUACGUAGAGAGAUAAUCUUAGCCGGCGGAAAAUACUUGGAUAUGUAAGCAUCUUUGCACUUAUCCCAAGAACCUAUACUAUUUUUAGGCAAAGAAGAAAACCAAGUUUUUGCGCGAUCUCGCAACGAGAAAGGAAAAGGCUUCAACUUAAUCACGUCAUUAUCCACAUCUCUUUUCUUUUUCAUAUCGCAAAGCUCAAUGAUGGUAUUGAGAUGGGAUGCGGCAUCUUCACUAGGAAGGCCAGAGAAUUGCUCUUUCAUAACAAGAUUCAGCAAGGCAGCGUUGAUUUCAUAUGAUUCCGCACUAGUGGCGGGAGCAAUUGGAGUACUAAUAAAAUCAUUAUUAUUAGUACUCAAAAAGUCGCAAAGUUUGGUGUUUUCAGCCAUGAUGACUUCAACAAACCAACAAGAACACAAGCAAGCAAGAAAACCGGCAAAGGAAAACGACAAAAGGCAAAUGAAAACAGCAAAGGAGAAAGGCAAAAAGGCAAAAGAAAACGGCAAAGGAGAAAGGCAAAAAGGCAAAAGAAAACGGCAAAGGAGAAAGGCAAAUGAAAACGGCAAAUGUGAAGUGGGGGAGAGGAAAACGAGAGGCAACUGGCAAAAAAAGGAAAUGCAAGAGAUAAGUUUGUGACACCUACUUGGAUAGAUCUUGACUUGAUCUCUUCUUCCCCGGCAGCGGCGCUAGAAAUACUUCUGCUACGGCAACAAAAGUCCUUCCAACGACGCCAAAAAUAAGCGUGUUGACGGGAGACUAUUCAAGCAAUCCUCCCCUGCAACGGCACCAGGAAUCCUUCUGCUACGGGCUACGCCUUUAAGGGACUUCCUGGACAAAUACGCAAAGGAUUCCCUCGUGGCCUUGGAGCCUUACGUUGGUGUUCCCUCGAAGCGGAAAGGGUGAUGAAGCACAGCGGCGGUAAGUAUUUCCCUCAGUUUUGAGAACCAAGGUAUCGAUCCAGUGGGAGGAUCGUGUCAAGUCACAAGUACCCGCACAAACUCAAAGAGCUUGCACCCAACGCUAUGAAGGGGUUGUCAAUCCCUUAUAGAUUGUUUCCAAAGUGAGAACUAAAAGCAAAAAGUAAACAAAGCAAAGUAAAAGUGAAAGUGGAGACGAUAGUUGUGAAUACACCCGGGGGCCGUAGUGUUCACUAGUGGCUUCUCUCAUGAAAGCAAGUAGACGGUGGGUGAACGAAUUACUGUCGAGCAAUUGAUAGAACCACGCAAAGUCGUGACAUUAUCUAUGGAAAUGAUUAUAUCUAUAGGCAUCACGUCCAAAACAAGUAGACCGAUACUUUCUGCAUCUACUACUAUUACUCCACACGUCGACCGCUAUCCAACAUGCAUCUAGUGUAUUAAGUUCAUAAGAAUAGAGUAACGCCUUAAGCAAGAUGACAUGAUGUAGAUGGACAAUCUCAUAUCUAUGAUAAAAGCCCAUCUUGUUACCCUUGAUGGAAACAACAUGAUGCGUGCCUUGCUGCCCCUUCUGUCACUGGGAAAGGUCACCACACGGUAUGAACCCAAAACCAAGCACUUCUCCCUUUGCAAGAAUCAUAGAUCNNNNNNNNNNNNNNNNNNNNNNNNNNNNNNNNNNNNNNNNNNNNNNNNNNNNNNNNNNNNNNNNNNNNNNNNNNNNNNNNNNNNNNNNNNNNNNNNNNNNGCAAUCCUUCAUGUCCCACUAUUCUUGGUAGACCUUUCCUAAGGACUAUUGGUGCUAUCAUCGAUAUGAAGGAAGGGAAUAUUAGAUUUCAAUUUCCUUUAAAGAAGGGCAUGGAGCACUUUCGUAGAAAGAAAAUAAGAUUGCCUUAUGAAUCUAUGAUGAGGGCUACCUAUGGUUUGAGCACCAAAGAUGACUAUACGUGAUUUCAUCACCUUUCGCCUAGCUAAGGGCGUUAAACAAAAGCGCUUGUUGGGAGGCAACCCAACGAAUCUAUCCUUUUUCUUUCUGUUUCGUGUUUCCCACACUUUCAUAAUUCUGUUACGAUUGUGUUUUUUGUGUUUCUUUUUGCGUUUGUGCCAAGCAAAACCGUUAUGAUUAGUCUUGGGGAUGAUCGUUUGGUCAUGCUGGAAAAGACAGAAACUUUCUGCUCACGAAAAGAAUAUUCAUUUUUUUGUAAGAGCUUUUGAGUUGAUUCUUUUUUGCUUCUGAUUGCUACGCAAAUUCUUCAGACUGUNNNNNNNNNNNNNNNNNNNNNNNNNNNNNNNNNNNNNNNNNNNNNNNNNNNNNNNNNNNNNNNNNNNNNNNNNNNNNNNNNNNNNNNNNNNNNNNNNNNNACCUUUGGUCCCGGUUGAUGCCAUGAACCGAGACCAAUGCCUUUGCUAUAUAAGCCAACACUUUGGAAAUUUCAGAUUUCACGGUGCCGCGAGCUCGUACACGCACCCGAUGACGCCGCGAGCUCAUCCACGGCGCCGCUAGGCUGCCCCGUUGCCGUCGCCCGUCGCCCUCCGGCCCUCGAGCUCGUCUCCCUCCGCCCCCGCCCCCCGCCGCCGUCGCCUUCGCCCUCCGCCGCCCCGAGCCGUCGCCCGUCACCGUCGCCCUCGCCCUCCGCCCCCUGCCGCCGUCGCCGUCGCCGUCGCCGCCCACGCCGUCGCCCCGGCCGCCCCCGAUGUGAGCCGCCGCCGCCACGACUCUGUUUUUUUAUUUAUUUAUUGUUUUUAAUUUUUGAUUUCUUUGGUGAUAUUAUUGUUGAAUAUGCAUGUUUGUAUGUUCAUAUAUAUGCAAAGAUCGAAUAUGUCAAAUUUGUAGUCAUCCAGAUCUUUGUUCGAAACCUUUUUUUUUAAAUUAAACUAACAAUGUAUAUGUGAGUAGAUUGAUCAAUGGUACUAAAAUAAAUAAAAAUAAGCAUGGCAGCAGUAUAUGUGAGUUUUGACUUUUGAGUGAUAUUUUUACAUUUGACAAAAGCAUGGCAUCAUAUAAGGUUUUCCUUAUACUUUCUGUGAGCCACAUUAUAUGUCCACAAGAAAUAAAAAGGGACAACACAUGUGCUCAAUAUAUCAUUUUAAAGUAUCAAUGAAUGAAUCAUAAAGUUUUUAUGUACAAAAAACGCAACCUUGCGGGAAUGUUAAACAUUUGUGCAUAGUACUAAAGCAAAUUAAAGAAAUUUUCUAACACUUCACUUUCCAUAGACAUAAAUAUUCUAUACUAGCUAUCAAGUGCAUCCAUAGACAUAAAUCAGGAACACAUCUAAUAUAACAAGUCAAUAUAUAAAGUUGGAUAGGCUACCAUGGCAUUAAAAAUGGCAGAUCAUAAUGUCUCAACAAGAGUGCAUGGCAUGCUCAUACCUAAUUUCANNNNNNNNNNNNNNNNNNNNNNNNNNNNNNNNNNNNNNNNNNNNNNNNNNNNNNNNNNNNNNNNNNNNNNNNNNNNNNNNNNNNNNNNNNNNNNNNNNNNAUUGUUGCAAAUAAGAACUAUGUACCCGUGGAUUUCAUUGUACUUGACAUAGAUUGCAAUCCUUCAUGUCCCAUUAUUCUUGGUAGACCUUUCCUAAGGACUAUUGGUGCUAUCAUCAAUAUGAAGGAAGGGAAUAUUAGAUUUCAAUUUCCUCUAAAUAAGGUCAUGGAGCAUUUUCCUAGAAAGAAAAUAAGAUUGCCUUAUGAAUCUAUGAUGAGGGCUACUUAUGGUUUGAGCACCAAAGAUGACUAUACGUGAUUCCAUCACCUUUUGCCUAGCUAAGGGCGUUAAACAAUAGCGCUUGUUGGGAGGCAACCCAACGAAUCUAUCCUUUUUUUGUUUUGUGUUUUCCACACUUCCAUAACUCUGUUAUGAUUGUGUUUUUUGUGUUUCUUUUGUGUUUGUGCCAAGUAAAACCGUUAUGAUUAGUCUUGGGGAUGAUCGUUUGGUCAUGCUGGAAAAGAACAGAAACUUUCUUCUCACGAAAAGAAUUUUUCAUUWUUUUUCUUUAAGAGCUUUUGAGUUGAUUCUUUUUGNNNNNNNNNNNNNNNNNNNNNNNNNNNNNNNNNNNNNNNNNNNNNNNNNNNNNNNNNNNNNNNNNNNNNNNNNNNNNNNNNNNNNNNNNNNNNNNNNNNNAGGGCUUCUACAUCAACAUCAUCGCCUCUCCAAUGACUCGUGAGUAGUUCACUUCAGACCUACGGGUCCGUAGUUAGUAGCUAGAUGGCUUCUUCUCUCUCUUGGAUCUUCAAUACAAAGUUCUCCAUGAUCUUCAUGGAGAUCUAUCCGAUGUAAUCCUCUUUGGCGGUGUGUUUGUCGAGAUCCGAUGAAUUGUGGAUUUGUAAUCAGAUUAUCUAUGAAAUAUAUUUGAGUCUUUGCUGAUUUCUUAUAUGCAUGAUUUGAUAUCCUUGUAAGUCUCUCCGAGUCUUGGGUUUGUUUGGCCAACUAGAUCUAUGAUUCUUGCAAUGGGAGAAGUGCUUGGUUUUGGGUUCAUACCGUGUGGUGACCUUUCCCAGUGACAGAAGGGGUAGCAAGGCACGCAUCGUGUUGUUGCCAUCAAGGGUAACAAGAUGGGCUUUUAUCAUAGAUAUGAGAUUGUCCAUCUACAUCAUGUCAUCUUGCUUAAGGCGUUACUCUGUUCUUAUGAACUUAAUACACUAGAUGCAUGCUGGAUAGCGGUCGACGUGUGGAGUAAUAGUAGUAGAUGCAGAAANNNNNNNNNNNNNNNNNNNNNNNNNNNNNNNNNNNNNNNNNNNNNNNNNNNNNNNNNNNNNNNNNNNNNNNNNNNNNNNNNNNNNNNNNNNNNNNNNNNNGACAAUGUGGAAUUGUUUCACAGUUGACACCGCCUGGAACACCACAGCGUAAUGGUGUGUCCGAACGUCGUAAUCGUACUUUAUUAGAGAUGUGCGAUCUAUGAUGUCUCUUACCGAUUUGCCGUUAUCGUUUUGGGGUUAUGCAUUAGAAACAGCUGCAUUCAAUUUAAAUAGGGCACCAUCAAAAUCCGUUGAGAAGACACCAUACGAACUGUGGUAUGGCAAAAGGCCAAAGUUGUCAUUUCUUAAAGUUUGGGGAUGUGAUGCUUAUGGCAAAAAGCUUCAGCCUGAAAAGCUAGAACCCAAAGCGGAAAAGUGCAUCUUCAUAGGUUACCCAAAAAAGACAGUUGGGUACACCUUCUAUCUCAAAUCCGAGGGCAAAGUGUUUGUUGCUAAAAAUGGAGCUUUUCUCGAGAAGGAGUUUCUCUCGAGAGAAUUGAGUGGGAGGAAGAUAGAACUUGACGAGGUUGUCGAACCUCUCUGGAUGGUGGCGCAGGACAAGGGGAAACCCCUGUCAUUGCGACGCCGGUUGAGGAGGAAGUUAAUGAUGAUGAUCAUGAAACUCUGGUUCAAGUUUCUGUCGAACCACGCAGGUCGACGAGACCACGUGCUGCUCCAGAGUGGUACGGUAAUCCCGUCUUGUCGAUCAUGUUGUUGGACAACAAUGAACCUGCAAAUUAUGAAGAAGCAAUGGUGGGCCCGGAUUCCAACAAAUGGCUAGAAGCCAUGAAGUCCGAGAUAGGAUCCAUGUAUGAGAACAAAGUGUGGACUUUGGAGGUACUGCCUGAGGGCCGCAAGGCUAUUCAGAACAAAUGGAUCUUUAAGAGGAAGAGGGACGCUGACGGCAAUGUGACCGUUUAUAAAGCUCGACUUGUGGCAAAGGGUUUUCGCAAGUUCAAGGAGUUGACUACGAUGAGACAUUCUCACCCGUAGCGAUGCUUAAGUCCGUCAGUAUCAUGUUAGCAAUAGCUGCAUUUUCGAUUAUGAAAUUUGGCAGAUGGAUGUCAAAACGGCGUUCCUUAACGGUUUCCUUAAGUAAGAAUUGAAUAUGAUGCAACCCGAAGGUUUUUUCGAUCCUAAGAAUGCUAACAAGGUGUGCAAGCUCCAGCGAUCCAUUUAUGGACUGGUGCAAGCAUCUCGAAGUUGGAACAAACGCUUUGAUGAGGUGAUCAAAGCAUUUGGGUUUAUACAAGUGGUUGGAGAAUCUUGUAUUUACAAGAAAGUGAGUGGGAGCACUGUGGCGUUUCUAAUAUUAUAUGUGGAUGACAUAUUGCUGAUUGGAAACAAUGUGGAGUUUUUGGAGAGCAUAAAGGAUUACUUGAAUAAAAGUUUCUCUAUGAAGGACCUAGGAGAAGCUGCUUACAUUCUAGGCAUUAAGAUCUAUAGGGAUAGAUCAAAACUCCUGAUAGGACUUUCACAAAGCACAUACCUUGAUAAAGUUUUGAAGAGGUUCAAAAUGGAACAGUCCAAGAAAGGGUUCUUGCCAGUUUUACAAGGUACGAGAUUGAGUAAGACUCAGUGCCCAGCAACUGAUGAAGAUAGAGAGCAUAUGCGCUCCGUCCCCUAUGCUUCAGCCAUAGGUUCUAUCAUGUAUGCAAUGUUGUGCACUAGACUGGAUGUUAGCCUGGCCAUAAGUAUGGCGGGUAGGUUCCAGAGUAAUCCAGGAGUGGAUCACUGGACAGCGGUCAAGAAUAUCCUGAAGUACCUGAAAAGGACUAAGGAUAUGUUUCUCGUGUAUGGAGGUGACGAAGAGCUCGCCAUAAAAGGUUACCUCGAUGCAAGCUUUGACACAGAUCCGGACGACUCUAAGUCGCAAACCGGAUACGUAUUUAUUCUUAAUGGGGAUGCGGUAAGCUGGUGCAGUUCCAAGCAAAGCGUCGUAGCAGAUUCCACAUGUGAAGCGGAGUACAUGGCUGCCUCGGAGGCGGCUAAGGAGGGUGUCUGGAUGAAGCAGUUCAUGACGGAUCUUGGAGUAGUGCCAAGCGCACUGAAUCCAAUAACCUUGUUCUGUGACAACACGGGUGCCAUUGCUUUAGCAAAGGAACCACGGUUUCACAAGAAGACCAGACACAUCAAACGACGCUUCAACCUCAUCCGCGACUACGUCGAAGGAGAGGACGUAAAUAUAUGCAAAGUGCACACGGAUGUGAAUGUAGCAGACCCGCUGACUAAACCUCUUCCACGGCCAAAGCAUGAUCAACACCAGAACUGUAUGGGUGUUAGAUUUAUUACAAUGUAAUUCGCAUGAUGAUGUGAGGGCUAGAUUAUUGACUCUAGUGCAAGUGGGAGACUGUUGGAAUUAUGCCCUAGAGGCAAUAAUAAAUAUAGUUAUUAUUAUAAUUCCUGUAUCAAGAUAAUCGUUUAUUAUCCAUGCUAUAAUUGUAUUGAAUGAAGACCCAUCUACAUGUGUGGAUACAUAGACAAAACACCGUCCCUAGCAAGCCUCUAGUUGGCUAGCCAGUUGAUCAAAGAUAGUCAGUGUCUUCUGAUUAUGAACAAGGUGUUGUUGCUUGAUAACUGGAUCACGUCAUUAGGAGAAUCACGUGAUGGACUAGACCCAAACUAAUAGACGUAGCAUGUUGAUCGUGUCAUUUUGUUGCUACUGUUUUCUGCGUGUCAAGUAUUUAUUCCUAUGACCAUGAGAUCAUAUAACUCACUGACACCGGAGGAAUGCUUUGUGUGUAUCAAACGUCGCAACGUAACUGGGUGACUAUAAAGAUGCUCUACAGGUAUCUCCGAAGGUGUUAGUUGAGUUAGUAUGGAUCAAGACUGGGAUUUGUCACUCCGUGUGACGGAGAGGUAUCUCGGGGCCCACUCGGUAAUACAACAUCACACACAAGCCUUGCAAGCAAUGUGACUUAGUGUAAGUUGCGGGAUCUUGUAUUACAGAACGAGUAAAGAGACUUGCUGGUAAACGAGAUUGAAAUAGGUAUGCGGAUACUGACGAUCGAAUCUCGGGCAAGUAACAUACCGAAGGACAAAGGGAAUGACAUACGGGAUUAUAUGAAUCCUUGGCACUGAGGUUCAAACGAUUAGAUCUUCGUAGAAUAUGUAGGAUUCAAUAUGGGCAUCCAGGUCCCGCUAUUGGAUAUUGACCGAGGAGUCUCUCGGGUCAUGUCUACAUAGUUCUCGAACCCGCAGGGUCUGCACACUUAAGGUUCGACGUUGUUUUAUGCGUAUUUGAGUUAUAUGGUUGGUUACAGAAUGUUGUUCGGAGUCCCGGAUGAGAUCACGGACGUCACGAGGGUUUCCGGAAUGGUCCGGAAACGAAGAUUGAUAUAUAGGAUGACCUCAUUUGAUUACCGGAAGGUUUUUGGAGUUACCUGGAAUGUACCGGGAAUGACGAAUGGGUUCCGGGAGUUCACCGGGGGGGGCAACCCACCCUGGGGAAGCCCAUAGGCCUUGAGGGUGGCACACCAGCCCUUAGUGGGCUGGUGGGACAGCCCAAAAGGGCCCUAUGCGCCUAGGAAAGAAAAUCAAAGAGAAAAGAAAAAAAAGGAGGUGGGAAGGGAAGGAAGGACUCCCACCCACCAAACCAAGUCCAACUCGGUUUGGGGGGGAGCCUUCCCCCUUGGACUCGGCCGACCCCCUUGGGGCUCCUUGAGCCCCAAGGCAAGGUGCCCUCCCUCCCACCUAUAUAUACGGAGGUUUUAGGGCUGAUUUGAGACGACUUUUCCACGGCAGCCCGACCACAUACCUCCACGGUUUUUCCUCUAGAUCGCGUUUCUGCGGAGCUCGGGCGGAGCCCUGCUGAGACAAGGUCAUCACCAACCUCCGGAGCGCCGUCACGCUGCCGGAGAACUCUUCUACCUCUCCGUCUCUCUUGCUGGAUCAAGAAGGCCGAGAUCAUCGUCGAGCUGUACGUGUGCUGAACGCGGAGGUGCCGUCCGUUCGGUACUAGAUCGUGGGACUGAUCGCGGGAUUGUUCGCGGGGCGGAUCGAGGGACGUGAGGACGUUCCACUACAUCAACCGCGUUCACUAACGCUUCUGUUGUACGAUCUACAAGGGUACAUAGAUCACUCAUCCCCUCUCGUAGAUGGACAUCACCAUGAUAGGUCUUCGUGCGUAGGAAAAAUUUUGUUUCCCAUGCGACGUUCCCUACAGUGGCAUCAUGAGCUAGGUUCAUGCGUAGAUGUCUUCUCGAGUAGAACACAAAAGUUUUUGUGGGCGGUGAUGUGCGUUUUGCUUCCCUCCUUAGUCUUUUCUUGAUUCCGCGAUAUUGUUGGAUUGAAGUGGCUUGGACCGACAUUACUCGUACGCUUACGAGAGACUGGUUUCAUCGCUACGAGUAACCCCGUUGCUCAAAGAUGACUGGCAAGUGUCGGUUUCUCCAACUUUAGUUGAAUCGGAUUUGACCGAGGAGGUCCUUGGAUGAGGUUAAAUAGCAACUCAUAUAUCUCCGUUGUGGUGUUUGCGUAAGUAAGAUGCGAUCCUACUAGAUACCCAUGGUCACCACAUAAAACAUGCAACAACAAAAUUAGAGGACGUCUAACUUCUUUUUGCAGGGUAUGCUUGUGAUGUGAUAUGGCCAACGAUGUGAUGUGAUAUAUUGGAUGCAUGAGAUGAUCAUGUUGUAAUAGAAAAUAUCGACUUGCACGUCGAUGGUACGGCAACCGGCAGGAGCCAUAGGGUUGUCUUUAUACUAACGUUUGUGCUUGCAGAUGCGUUUACUAUUUUGCUAGGAUGUAGCUUUAGUAGUAAUAGCAUGAGUAUCAUGACAACCCCGAUGGCAACACGUUGAUGGAGAUCAUGGUGUGGCGCCGGUGACAAGAAGAUCGUGCCGGUGCUUUGGUGAUGGAGAUCAAGAAGCACGUGAUGAUGGCCAUAUCAUGUCACUUAUGAAUUGCAUGUGAUGUUAAUCCUUUAUGCACCUUAUUUUGCUUAGAACGACGGUAGCAUUAUGAGGUGAUCUCUCACUAAAAUUUCAAGACAAAAUUGUGUUCUCCCCGACUGUGCACUGUUGCUACUGUUCGUCGUUUCGAGACACCACGUGAUGAUCGGGUGUGAUAGACUCAACGUUCACAUACAACGGGUGCAAAACAGUUGCGCACGCGGAACACUCGGGUUAAGCUUGACGAGCCUAGCAUGUGCAGACAUGGCCUCGGAACACAUGAGACCGAAAGGUCGAUCAUGAAUCAUAUAGAUGAUAUGAUUAGCAUAGGGAUGCUUACCACUGAAACUAUACUCAACUCACGUGAUGAUCGGACUUGAGCUAGUGUAAGUGGAUCAUGAACCACUCAAAUGACUAGAGAGAUGUACUUUUUGAGUGGGAGUUUAGCAAAUAAUUUGAUUAAGUUAAACUCUAAUUAUCUUGAUCAUAGUCUAAGUCCACUUUGAAUAUAUUUGUGUUGUAGAUCAUGGCUCACGCGACAGUCACCCUGAAUUUUAAUACGUUCCUAGAGAAAGCUAAGUUGAAAGAUGAUGGAAGCAACUUUGUAGACUGGGCUCGUAAUCUUAAGCUAAUCUUACAAGCUGGGAAGAAGAAUUAUGUCCUUAAUGCUGCACUAGGAGAUGAACCACCCGCUACGGCUGAUCAGGUUGUUAAGAACGCUUGGUUAGCACGUAAGGAGGACUACUCAGUAGUUCAAUGUGCAGUCUUGUAUGGCUUAGAACCGGGACUUCAACGUCGCUUUGAACGUCAUGGAGCAUUUGAGAUGUUCCAGGAGUUGAAGUUUAUCUUUCAGAAGAACGCCCGGAUCGAGAGGUAUGAGACCUCCGAUAAAUUCUAUGCUUGCAAGAUGGAGGAGAACUCGUCUGUCAGUGAACAUGUGCUCAAAAUGUCUGGGUACUCAAACCGUCUAGCUGAGCUGGGGAUUGAACUCCCGCAAGAGGCUAUCACUGACAGAAUCCUUCAAUCACUGCCGCCAAGCUAUAAAGGCUUUGUGUUGAACUACAACAUGCAAGGGAUGAACAAGUCACCCGGCGAGUUGUUUGCGAUGCUGAAAGUCGCAGAGUCUGAACUCCGUAAAGAACAUCAAGUGUUGAUGGUGAAUAAGACCACUAGUUUCAAGAGAAACGGCAAAGGCAAGAAGGGUAAUUCAAAGAAGACCGGCAAGCCUGUUGCCAAUCCGACGAAGAAACCCAAAGCUGGACCUAAGCCUGAAACAGAGUGCUACUAUUGCAAGGGUAUGGGUCACUGGAAGCGCAACUGCCCCAAGUAUCUGGCUGAUAAGAAGGCGGCCAAAGAAAAAUCAGGUAUAUUUGAUAUACAUGUUAUUGAUGUGUACUUAACCAGCUCUCGUAGUAGUGCCUGGGUAUUCGAUACCGGUUCUGUUGCUCAUAUUUGCAACUCGAAACAGGAACUGCGGAAUAGACGAAGGCUGGCGAAAGAUGAAGUGACGAUGUGCGUAGGAAAUGGUUCCAAGGUUGAUGCAAUCGCCGUCGGCACAAUUUCACUUCAGUUACCAUCAGGAUUAGUGAUGAACUUAAAUCAUUGUUAUUUAGUGCCUGCGUUGAGCAUGAACAUUAUAUCUGGAUCUUGUUUAUUGCCAGACGGUUGCUCUUUUAAGUCAGAGAAUAAUGGUUGUUCUAUUUCUAUGAGUAACAUCUUUUAUGGUCAUGCACCUAAUGUGAGAGGAUUGUUCAUAUUGAAUCUUGAUAGCGAUACACAUAUACAUAACAUUGAGACCAAAAGAGUUAGAGUUAACAAUGAUAGCACCAUAUUUUUGUGGCACUGCCGCUUACGUCAUAUUGGUGUAAAGCGCAUGAAGAAACUCCAUGCUGAUGGACUUUUGGAGUCACUUGACUUUGAUUCACUUGACACGUGCGAACCAUGCCUCAUGGGCAAGAUGACUAAGACUCCAUUCUCCGGAACUAUGGAGCGUGCAAGUGACUUGUUGGAAAUCAUACAUACCGAUGUGUGUGAUCCGAUGAGCGUAGAGGCGCGCGGCGGAUAUCGUUAUUUUCUCACCUUCACUGACGAUUUGAGUAGAUAUGGUUAUGUCUACUUGAUGAAGCACAAGUCUGAAACAUUUGAAAAGUUCAAGCAAUUUCAGAGUGAAGUGGAAAAUCAUCGUAACAAGAAGAUCAAGUUCCUACGGUCUGAUCGUGGGGGUGAAUAUCUGAGUUUCGGUUUUGGUGCUCACUUAAGACAAUGUGGAAUUGUUUCACAGUUGACACCGCCUGGAACACCACAGCGUAAUGGUGUGUCCGAACGUCGUAAUCGUACUUUAUUAGAGAUGUGCGAUCUAUGAUGUCUCUUACCGAUUUGCCGUUAUCGUUUUGGGGUUAUGCAUUAGAAACAGCUGCAUUCAAUUUAAAUAGGGCACCAUCAAAAUCCGUUGAGACGACACCAUACGAACUGUGGUAUGGCAAAAGGCCAAAGUUGUCAUUUCUUAAAGUUUGGGGAUGUGAUGCUUAUGUCAAAAAGCUUCAGCCUGAAAAGCUAGAACCCAAAGCGGAAAAGUGCAUCUUCAUAGGUUACCCAAAAAAGACAGUUGGGUACACCUUCUAUCUCAAAUCCGAGGGCAAAGUGUUUGUUGCUAAAAAUGGAGCUUUUCUCGAGAAGGAGUUUCUCUCGAGAGAAUUGAGUGGGAGGAAGAUAGAACUUGACGAGGUUGUCGAACCUCUCUGGAUGGUGGCGCAGGACAAGGGGAAACCCCUGUCAUUGCGACGCCGGUUGAGGAGGAAGUUAAUGAUGAUGAUCAUGAAACUCUGGUUCAAGUUUCUGUCGAACCACGCAGGUCGACGAGACCACGUGCUGCUCCAGAGUGGUACGGUAAUCCCGUCUUGUCGAUCAUGUUGUUGGACAACAAUGAACCUGCAAAUUAUGAAGAAGCAAUGGUGGGCCCGGAUUCCAACAAAUGGCUAGAAGCCAUGAAGUCCGAGAUAGRUCCAUGUAUGAGAACAAAGUGUGGACUNNNNNNNNNNNNNNNNNNNNNNNNNNNNNNNNNNNNNNNNNNNNNNNNNNNNNNNNNNNNNNNNNNNNNNNNNNNNNNNNNNNNNNNNNNNNNNNNNNNNNNNNNNNNNNNNNNNNNNNNNNNNNNNNNNNNNNNNNNNNNNNNNNNNNNNNNNNNNNNNNNNNNNNNNNNNNNNNNNNNNNNNNNNNNNNNNNNNNNNNNNNNNNNNNNNNNNNNNNNNNNNNNNNNNNNNNNNNNNNNNNNNNNNNNNNNNNNNNNNNNNNNNNNNNNNNNNNNNNNNNNNNNNNNNNNNNNNNNNNNNNNNNNNNNNNNNNNNNNNNNNNNNNNNNNNNNNNNNNNNNNNNNNNNNNNNNNNNNNNNNNNNNNNNNNNNNNNNNNNNNNNNNNNNNNNNNNNNNNNNNNNNNNNNNNNNNNNNNNNNNNNNNNNNNNNNNNNNNNNNNNNNNNNNNNNNNNNNNNNNNNNNNNNNNNNNNNNNNNNNNNNNNNNNNNNNNNNNNNNNNNNNNNNNNNNNNNNNNNNNNNNNNNNNNNNNNNNNNUCACGGACGUCACGAGGGUUUCCGGAAUGGUCCGGAAACGAAGAUUGAUAUAUAGGAUGACCUCAUUUGAUUACCGGAAGGUUUUUGGAGUUACCUGGAAUGUACCGGGAAUGACGAACUGGGUUCCGGGAGUUCACCGGGGGGGGCAACCCACCCUGGGGAAGCCCAUAGGCCUUGAGGGUGGCACACCAGCCCUUAGUGGGCUGGUGGGACAGCCCAAAAGGGCCCUAUGCGCCUAGGAAAGAAAAUCAAAGAGAAAAGUAAAAAAAAGGAGGUGGGAAGGGAAGGAAGGACUCCCACCCACCAAACCAAGUCCAACUCGGUUUGGGGGGGAGCCUUCCCCCUUGGACUCGGCCGACCCCCUUGGGGCUCCUUGAGCCCCAAGGCAAGGUCCCCUCCCUCCCACCUAUAUAUACGGAGGUUUUAGGGCUGAUUUGAGACGACUUUUCCACGGCAGCCCGACCACAUACCUCCACGGUUUUUCCUCUAGAUCGCGUUUCUGCGGAGCUCGGGCGGAGCCCUGCUGAGACAAGGUCAUCACCAACCUCCGGAGCGCCGUCACGCUGCCGGAGAACUCUUCUACCUCUCCGUCUCUCUUGCUGGAUCAAGAAGGCCGAGAUCAUCGUCGAGCUGUACGUGUGCUGAACGCGGAGGUGCCGUCCGUUCGGUACUAGAUCGUGGGACUGAUCGCGGGAUUGUUCGCGGGGCGGAUCGAGGGACGUGAGGACGUUCCACUACAUCAACCGCGUUCACUAACGCUUCUGCUGUACGAUCUACAAGGGUACAUAGAUCACUCAUCCCCUCUCGUAGAUGGACAUCACCAUGAUAGGUCUUCGUGCGCGUAGGAAAAAUUUUGUUUCCCAUGCGACGUUCCCUACAGUUAAAGCAUUAGGUAAACCAGUCUCGCAUCAUGUACCAUGUGUGGUCACAAUUGAACCUAAUAGUCCUCGUGGUAAGCUGUUCAGAUUUGAAUCAUUUUGAGUGGACCGUCCAGGGUUCAUCGAUGUUGUCUCUUUUGCUUGGAACCAACAUGUUAACAUUGCAAAUUGUGCCGCCAUGUGCUAUCCCACAGAUAACAGCGCCACAAGUUGACACAUUGACAAAGGUUGGGCUUGCGUUGGUUCUUCCCUUGAAGAGGAAAGGGUGAUGCGGCACAGGAGCAGUAAGUAUUUCCCUCAGUUUGAGAACCAAGGUAUCGAUCCAGAAGGAGGGUCUCGUCAAGUACAGAGUACGUGCGCAAACACAAACAAGCUUGCACCCAACGCUUCAAAGGGGUUGUCAAUCCCUUCAAGAUUGUUUGCAAAGUGAGAUUUGAAGGCAGAAAGUGCAACGAAGUAAAAGUGUAAGGCUGAAAAUAUGGUAUGGAGUAGACCCUGGGGGGCAUAGUGUUCACUAGAGUCUUCUCUCAAAAUAGCAAGUAUCACGGUGGGUGAACAAAUUACUGUCGAGCAAUUGAUAGAACCGCGCAAAGUCAUGACGAUAUCUAAGGCAAUGAUCAUGCAUAUAGGCAUCAUGUCCGAGACAAGUAGACCGAUACUUUCUGCAUCUACUACUAUUACUCCACACAUCGACCGCUAUCCAGCAUGCAUCUAGUGUAUUGAGUUCAUGACGAACAGAGUAACGCUUUAAGCAAGAUGACAUAAUGUAGAGGGAUAAUCUCAAACCAAUGAUGAAAACCCCAUCUUUUUACCCUUGACGGCAACAACACGAUGCGUGCCUCGCUACCCCUUCUCUCACUGGGUGAGGUCACCACACGGUAUGAACCCAAAACCAAGCACUUCUCCCAUUGCAAGAAUCAUAGAUCUAGUAGGCCAAACAAAACCCACAACUCGAAGAGAAUUACAAGGAUAUGAAAUCAUGCAUAAGAGAGAUCAUAAGAAACUCAAAUAAUAUUCAUAGAUAAUCUAAUAAUAAAUCCACAAUUCAUCGGAUCUCGACAAACACACCGCAAAAGAAGAUUACAUCGGAUAGAUCUCCAUGAAGAUCAUGGAGAACUUUGUAUUGAAGAUCCAAGAGAGAGAAGAAGCCAUCUAGCUACUAGCUAUGGACCCGUAGGUCUAUGGUGAACUACUCACGCAUCAUGGGAGAGGUCAUGGUGAUGAUGAAGAAGCCCUCCAUGUCCGAAACCCCCCUCCGCAGGGCACUAGGAUGUGCCCCAGAUGGGAUCUUGCGGAGACAGAAGCUUGCGGCGGUGGAAAAGCGAUUGCGAUGAUCUCCUUAUUUUUUCUGGAAUUUAUGGGAUUAUAUAGGCGAAAGACCUAGGUCAGGGGACCUCCAGGGGGCCCACAAGCCUGGAUGGCACGCCCCCCUGGUCGCGGGGUGGGGGAGUUGUGGGGCCCCUGGGGCUCUCCUGUUGGAAAUAUGCCCUAGAGGCAAUAAUAAAUUAGUUAUUAUUAUAUUUCUGUGUUCAUGAUAAUCGUUUAUUAUCCAUGCUAUAAUUGUAUUGAUUGGAAACACAGUGCAUGUGUGGAUACAUAGACAAAACACUGUCCCUAGUAAGCCUCUAGUUGACUAGCUCAUUGAUCAAAGAUGGUCAAGGUUUCCUGGCCAUAGGCAAGUGUUGUUACUUGAUAACGGGAUCACAUCAUUAGGAGAAUCAUGUGAUGGACUAGACCCAAACUAAUAGACGUAGCAUGUUGAUCGUGUCAUUUUGUUGCUACUGUUUUCUGCGUGUCAAGUAUUUGUUCCUAUGACCAUGAGAUCAUAUAACUCACUGACACCGGAGGAAUGCUUUGUGUGUAUCAAACGUCGCAACGUAACUGGGUGACUAUAAAGAUGCUCUAUAGGUAUCUCCGAAGGUGUUCGUUGAGUUAGUAUGGAUCGAGACUGGGAUUUGUCACUCCGUGUGACGGAGAGGUAUCUCGGGGCCCACUCGGUAAUACAACAUCACACACAAGCCUUGCAAGCAAUGUGACUUAGUGUAAGUUGCGGGAUCUUGUAUUACGGAACGAGUAAAGAGACUUGCCGGUAAACGAGAUUGAAAUAGGUAUGCGGAUACUGACGAUCGAAUCUCGGGCAAGUAACAUACCGAAGGACAAAGGGAAUGACAUACGGGAUUAUAUGAAUCCUUGGCACUGAGGUUCAAACGAUAAGAUCUUCGUAGAAUAUGUAGGAUCCAAUAUGGGCAUCCAGGUCCCGCUAUUGGAUAUUGACCGAGGAGUCACUCGGGUCAUGUCUACAUAGUUCUCGAACCCGCAGGGUCUGCACACUUAAGGUUCGACGUUGUUUUAUGCGUAUUUGAGUUAUAUGGUUGGUUACCGAAUGUUGAUCGGAGUCCCGGAUGAGAUCACGGACGUCACGAGGGUUUCCGGAAUGGUCCGGAAUCAAAGAUUGAUAUAUAGGAUGACCUCAUUUGGUUACCGGAAGGUUUUCGUGCAUUACCGGAAAAGUUUCGGGCUCAUCGGUAGUGUACUGGGAGUGCCGGGAGGGGUGCCGGGGACCAUCAGGAGGGGUCUCACGCCCCAAGGGGUCUCAUGGGCUAUGGGAAGAGAUAAACCAGCCCCUAGUGGGCUGGAAUAAGUUCCCACUAAGGCCCAUAACGUUUGAGAAGGAAAAAACACAAGGUGGAAAGAGUUUCCAAGUGGGAAGGUGGAAUCCUACUCCAAGUAGGAUUGGAGUAGGACUCCUCCAUCUCCACUUUCGGCCAAACCUUUAGGUUUUGAGGCUGCCUCCUCC
This 34776-nucleotide long non-coding RNA is filed under the name Hordeum vulgare. RNAcentral describes it as "long non-coding RNA (HVUL_LNC008377)". Lineage: Eukaryota; Viridiplantae; Streptophyta; Magnoliopsida; Poales; Poaceae. The record is from RNAcentral.